AGUGAACGCUGGCGGUAGGCCUAACACAUGCAAGUCGAACGGCAGCACAGUAAGAGCUUGCUCUUACGGGUGGCGAGUGGCGGACGGGUGAGGAAUACAUCGGAAUCUACUUUUUCGUGGGGGGUAACGUAGGGAAACUUACGCUAAUACCGCAUACGACCUACGGGUGAAAGCAGGGGAUCUUCGGACCUUGCGCGAAUGAAUGAGCCGAUGUCGGAUUAGCUAGUUGGCGGGGUAAAGGCCCACCAAGGCGACGAUCCGUAGCUGGUCUGAGAGGAUGAUCAGCCACACUGGAACUGAGACACGGUCCAGACUCCUACGGGAGGCAGCAGUGGGGAAUAUUGGACAAUGGGCGCAAGCCUGAUCCAGCCAUACCGCGUGGGUGAAGAAGGCCUUCGGGUUGUAAAGCCCUUUUGUUGGGAAAGAAAAGCAGCAGGUUAAUACCCCGCUGUUCUGACGGUACCCAAAGAAUAAGCACCGGCUAACUUCGUG
RNAcentral lists this ribosomal RNA (492 nucleotides) under uncultured bacterium. Its description in RNAcentral is "partial 16S ribosomal RNA". It matches the Rfam family "Bacterial small subunit ribosomal RNA", at positions 29 to 507 of the family's 1533-position model. The record is from RNAcentral.